UGGUCUGGGGGGAUAGAGAGGUCUGAAGGAGGAUUUAGGGGUGCAGAGAACAGAUGGGUCUGUAAGGGAUAUAUUUAGGGGGCACAGUAUCUGGCAGGGUUAUAAUGAUUAUUGUCUUCUUAUGGAGGAUGAGGAUCUGUGGACAAAGUGACUAACGUAUGAUGUGCUUGUGUCAGACUCUGCAGAGAAGAUGGAGCUGGAAGAAGUCCUGGCAUCUGGACCAGAUAAAGAAGAAGAGAAAAGACAACAGAGAAGACGUCACUCAGGGACCCGCUAAAUACAGAUGGCCAUGACGUGGCUAGCGGGCUUGUACUUCAUGAUCAUCAAGUACAGUAACGACCCAUUAGUGUAAUAUACUAAGCCCAGUGCAGAUACACAUGAUACUAAGGAUGAUAUUAUCUGUGUGUGGUGUGGCCACGCCCACUGAUGUCACACAUGUGAUGUCAUAAAUCUAUAGAAUCUUGGGGCUAACAAAAACGGCUGCAGCCCUGACUUUGUUGAGGGAGUUGUAUCACAGCAGUGAUGGCGAGCAGUGGAAAGCGAACGGGAAAGCGCAAGUUUGACCAGGUGACCAAGGACACCACCAAACCGGCUAUAACAUUCCAGCCAACACCGGCCAAAAGAUCUCCGCCCGCUUUGGCUCCCAGAUCAAUCCCGGCUUUAACAUCUCAGCCGGAGGACAUGGAGGUGGAGGGGAGACAAUUCCCUGAGGAUAUCGACAUGUAUGAUCUGGAGCCAAAGACGAGGAAUUACACCUAUGAUGCGGAUGGAUCUUGUGUCAUGGCCGAUAUGAGCUGGAUUUGGAAGAGAAGGCGUUAGAUCUACUUCUCCAGGAACAUCAUCUAUAACAUCUAUUGGGGAACUCUCUUGAGUUUCCCAAUAACAUCUAUAACAUUUGAGACUCUCCUGAAGACUCAUCCAGUGAGGAGACCUCAGUGUAGUAGAUUAGCAGCAGCCGGCACAUCUGAUACAGCGCCUUCCAGCCUCGCCAUAGAGAAGACAUCACUGUGCUACGAUCUCAGAACAUUUGAAGAUACUGCGCCCUCCAGCCUCUACGCAGAGAUGACAUCACUGUGCUUAAAUCUCACAACAUGUUACAUUUUGAGAUUUAAUAGUAAAAAAAUAUAUAUUUUUUAUCA
Hyla sarda is the source of this 1139-nucleotide long non-coding RNA. RefSeq lists it as uncharacterized. Lineage: Eukaryota; Metazoa; Chordata; Amphibia; Anura; Hylidae. The transcript is spliced from 4 exons. The record is from RefSeq and is a predicted model, not a curated record.